CGUGCUUAACACAUGCAAGUCGAACGAAGCACUUUAUUUGAUUUCCUUCGGGACUGAUUAUUUUGUGACUGAGUGGCGGACGGGUGAGUAACGCGUGGGUAACCUGCCUUGUACAGGGGGAUAACAGUUGGAAACGGCUGCUAAUACCGCAUAAGCGCACAGUAUCGCAUGAUGCAGUGUGAAAAACUCCGGUGGUAUAAGAUGGACCCGCGUUGGAUUAGCUAGUUGGUGAGGUAACGGCCCACCAAGGCGACGAUCCAUAGCCGACCUGAGAGGGUGACCGGCCACAUUGGGACUGAGACACGGCCCAAACUCCUACGGGAGGCAGCAGUGGGGAAUAUUGCACAAUGGGCGAAAGCCUGAUGCAGCGACGCCGCGUGAGCGAAGAAGUAUUUCGGUAUGUAAAGCUCUAUCAGCAGGGAAGAUAAUGACGGUACCUGACUAAGAAGCACCGGCUAAAUACGUGCCAGCAGCCGCGGUAAUACGUAUGGUGCAAGCGUUAUCCGGAUUUACUGGGUGUAAAGGGAGCGCAGGCGGUGCGGCAAGUCUGAUGUGAAAGCCCGGGGCUCAACCCCGGUACUGCAUUGGAAACUGUCGUACUAGAGUGUCGGAGGGGUAAGCGGAAUUCCUAGUGUAGCGGUGAAAUGCGUAGAUAUUAGGAGGAACACCA
RNAcentral lists this ribosomal RNA (670 nucleotides) under uncultured Lachnospiraceae bacterium. RNAcentral's name for it is "bacterial SSU rRNA". It matches the Rfam family "Bacterial small subunit ribosomal RNA", at positions 43 to 711 of the family's 1533-position model. Lineage: Bacteria; Bacillati; Bacillota; Clostridia; Lachnospirales; Lachnospiraceae. The record is from RNAcentral.